GGCUUCAUAGCUCAGUUGGUUGGACCAUCGCACCGGUAUCGCGAGGAUAUGGGUUCAAACCCCUUUGAAGUCC
RNAcentral lists this transfer RNA (73 nucleotides) under Acropora cervicornis. Its description in RNAcentral is "tRNA-Thr". It matches the Rfam family "tRNA". Rfam says of the family: Transfer RNA (tRNA) molecules are approximately 80 nucleotides in length. Their secondary structure includes four short double-helical elements and three loops (D, anti-codon, and T loops). The record is from RNAcentral. Lineage: Eukaryota; Metazoa; Cnidaria; Anthozoa; Scleractinia; Acroporidae.